AUGAAUGAAGAAAAAAAAUGAAAAGAAGAAACUGUAAAGAGCAGAAGUUUAAAAGGUGACAAGGAAAAUUUGAAUGUGAAGGAAUCCCCUGUUCAUGCUUCAGCAGCCUCAUUUUACAGGAGCCACUGGACUGUACCAUAAUAACAAAAGCAAAAAUACAAACAAACUCUUGAAGACAAGUGCAGUGACCCAUGGUGCUUAUCCCAGCUACUUCAGUGAUUAGGAUCUGCAGGAUCAUAAUUCAAGAAAACAAAUCUUCUGAUCUAUGUUGAUUAAGAAAUUUAAUCCACACUGUGGACCGGCUGUAAAACUGAGACUAUGUGGAGGCGGGAAUAUUCAAGAAGUAAACUUGGGAAAGACGGGAAUGCAAGAAAGGAUGGAAAUAAACAGGAAAUAAAAAAUGAAAUGAACAUGACAAUCAGACUUUUGUUCAUGGACAACACCAGAUUCUUUGUCAAGGCUCCAUGAGUUUGGUAUUUCUUUUUUUUUUUCCUUUAUAAUCAAAGAAAGAAAAUUUAAGCUGGAGACGAAUGUAC
Long non-coding RNA from Dipodomys spectabilis (banner-tailed kangaroo rat), 536 nucleotides. RefSeq lists it as uncharacterized. The record is from RefSeq and is a predicted model, not a curated record. Lineage: Eukaryota; Metazoa; Chordata; Mammalia; Rodentia; Heteromyidae. The transcript is spliced from 4 exons.